Molecule: ribosomal RNA, 253 nt
Filed under: uncultured bacterium
Lineage: Bacteria
Description: partial 16S ribosomal RNA
Rfam family: Bacterial small subunit ribosomal RNA
Source: RNAcentral
UACGAAGGGGGCUAGCGUUGCUCGGAAUUACUGGGCGUAAAGCGCACGUAGGCGGCUCGUUAAGUCGGUGGUGAAAUCCUGGAGCUCAACUCCAGAACUGCCUUCGAUACUGGCGAGCUUGAGUUCGGGAGAGGUGAGUGGAACUGCGAGUGUAGAGGUGAAAUUCGUAGAUAUUCGCAAGAACACCAGUGGCGAAGGCGGCUCACUGGCCCGAUACUGACGCUGAGGUGCGAAAGCGUGGGGAGCAAACAGG